AGAUGGCGACCGGCGCACGGGUGAGUAACACGUAUCCAACCUGCCGAUAACUCGGGGAUAGCCUUUCGAAAGAAAGAUUAAUACCCGAUGGUAUAAUCAGACCGCAUGGUCUUGUUAUUAAAGAAUUUCGGUUAUCGAUGGGGAUGCGUUCCAUUAGGCAGUUGGUGAGGUAACGGCUCACCAAACCUUCGAUGGAUGGGGGUUCUGAGAGGAAGGUCCCCCACAUUGGAACUGAGACACGGUCCAA
Molecule: ribosomal RNA, 247 nt
Filed under: uncultured bacterium
Lineage: Bacteria
Description: partial 16S ribosomal RNA
Rfam family: Bacterial small subunit ribosomal RNA
Source: RNAcentral